CAUCACCUGGGUUUGACAUGGAUCAGCAACCAUUAAAGGAGGUUGCUCCCCGUUGGGGGCCGGUACACAGGGGGUGCAUGGCUGUUGUCAGCUGUGUGUCGUGAGAUGUUGGGUUAAGUCCCGCAACGAGCGCAACCCUCGUCCAUUGUUGCCAGCAGUUAAGGUUGGGGAUUCAGUGGAGACCGCCGGGGUCAAAUCGGAGGAAGGUGGGGAAGAAGUCAAGUCCUCCAGCCCCUUAUGUCCAUGGGUUCAAGCUUAUACAAAUGGCGGUACAAAGAGAUGCGAACUAGUGAGGGGGAGCGAAUAUCGGAAAACCGGUUUCCAUUUGGGAUGGCGUGUUGAAAUCGGCCCCCGGAGUCGGGAAUGGUUGGUAUCGGCGAUCAGAAUAGCGCCGAUGCAC
RNAcentral lists this ribosomal RNA (400 nucleotides) under uncultured Propionibacterium sp. Its description in RNAcentral is "bacterial SSU rRNA". It matches the Rfam family "Bacterial small subunit ribosomal RNA", at positions 969 to 1364 of the family's 1533-position model. The record is from RNAcentral. Lineage: Bacteria; Bacillati; Actinomycetota; Actinomycetes; Propionibacteriales; Propionibacteriaceae.